Molecule: non-coding RNA, 1181 nt
Organism: Xyrichtys novacula (pearly razorfish)
Lineage: Eukaryota; Metazoa; Chordata; Actinopteri; Labriformes; Labridae
Source: the annotation of a GenBank genome assembly
CUCAGACUGACGAUUCCUGAAAAGACUACAAGAGGUACAAAAUUAGUCUCAUGGGACUCCUGAUCUCUAAAUACUUCAUGUGAGUCACUCUUGUAAAGUUUACCAAAGAAAACCCACUCUCCAACACUAAAUAUAAGCUUGAUAUGGGAACCCUGCAGGAGAGGAAGCUGAUAAAACCGCAGAUUUCUAAUGAAAAGUGUAUUUUUUGAAAUCUCAGAUACCAGACGAGGAGUUUGAUUCAUUCUUGAGGCUUUUCUUGAAUCCACUGACAGAACGACGACAGCUGCUGCUGCGUCAGAUACUUCCGUUCAUGGAGAUUAGUCUCUCUUUAAAGUGUUACUCCGUUUACUCUCAGUCUGUCUGCUGCAAAGAAGCGGAAUAAUCAAAUCCCGCAGGUCACGCACAGGCCGCGCAGGAGGAGCCGCCUGAAGAUCAGGAGAGCUUCAGGUUAUCUCUGCAGGUUUUAAAGGCGUCUGCGGGAUGCACAGGAGUUCGCCGCUCUCACCUAGGAGUGUGACCGGCUCGAUCAAGCGUUUGACAGGGGUGUUAGUGACGGUAGCGUUGUCACGUGCAUGUUUACAUUCUACGGUCAUUUGAUACACAGACUUGAUGCGCCGCAGUCGGUUCUCUGUUUCAGUGAGGGGGUCAGGACUGAGGAUUUUUGUAGGCAAGUUCAACUGGGAGGAAAGAAGCUGGAGGGAUUUGCAGAUGAGAGGGACCUGCUCAGGUGAAGAUGGAUGAAGCUUUGUGACCUUUACUCUGCAUGUUUUGGUUUUACUUUUGAGGAGCUGUGAACUCCUCCAUCUUAGAUGACUUUCAGUUUGAACAGAGGAGACAGUUUAGUGCCGUUUGAGGUCUUCACUUUGGAUUGCAAAUGUCUUUCCAUGUGUUUGUAUUGACUUUGUGUAUCUCUCAGAGUCAGUCUCACAUCUGCAGCUCAUUUCCAGUCUCUGAUUUUUUUGUUGUUGUUGAAGGAGUGAGCGUAGCAUCGGACCAUCACGGCAUCCAGCUCUGUGUUUAUCUCGGACUCUUAAACAAAAUCCUCCCGGUUCCUGCCCGCUCAACGCCUCAAAUCCACAAUCUUCUUUCCAAUUGCUGCUCUGCUCUCGGCUCUUCCACUGCCAAAAAAAGUGAUCCUCCGUCUGUUUACUGUGUGAUGAGGAAGAUCCAUUUCUCAAGAG